UAGGGAAUAUUGCGCAAUGGAGGAAACUCUGACGCAGCGACGCCGCGUGGGUGACGAAGGCCUUCGGGUCGUAAAGCCCUGUCGGAAGAGAAGAAAAACAAAGUGGCUAACAUCCACUAUGCUUGACGGUAUCUUCAGAGGAAGCACCGGCUAACUACGUGCCAGCAGCCGCGGUAAUACGUAGGGUGCUAGCGUUGUUCGGAAUCAUUGGGCGUAAAGCGCGUGUAGGCGGUUAGUUAAGUCGAUUGUGAAAUCCCUGGGCUUAACCGAGGAAGUGCAUUCGAAACUAACUAGCUAGAAGACGGUAGAGGAAGGUGGAAUUCCUAGUGUAGAGGUGAAAUUCGUAGAUAUUAGGAGGAAUACCGGUGGCGAAGGCGGCCUUCUGGGCCGAUCUUGACGCUGAGACGCGAAAGCGUGGGGAGCAAACAGGAUUAGAUACCCGCGUAGUCC
RNAcentral lists this ribosomal RNA (450 nucleotides) under uncultured bacterium. Its description in RNAcentral is "bacterial SSU rRNA". It matches the Rfam family "Bacterial small subunit ribosomal RNA", at positions 355 to 796 of the family's 1533-position model. The record is from RNAcentral.